GACGAACGCUGGCGGCGUGCUUAACACAUGCAAGUCGAGCGAGUGAGUUCUUCGGAACGAUCUAGCGGCGGACGGGUGAGUAACACGUGGGCAACCUGCCUCAUAGAGGGGAAUAGCCUCCCGAAAGGGAGAUUAAUACCGCAUAAAAUUAUCGAGUGGCAUCACAUGAUAAUCAAAGGAGUAAUCCGCUAUGAGAUGGGCCCGCGGCGCAUUAGCUAGUUGGUAAGGUAACGGCUCACCAAGGCGACGAUGCGUAGCCGACCUGAGAGGGUGAUCGGCCACAUUGGGACUGAGACACGGCCCAGACUCCUACGGGAGGCAGCAGUGGGGAAUAUUGCACAAUGGGGGAAACCCUGAUGCAGCAACGCCGCGUGAGUGAUGAAGGUCUUCGGAUUGUAAAGCUCUGUCUUUGGGGACGAUAAUGACGGUACCCAAGGAGGAAGCCACGGCUAACUACGUGCCAGCAGCCGCCGUAA
This 476-nucleotide ribosomal RNA is filed under the name uncultured bacterium. RNAcentral's name for it is "partial 16S ribosomal RNA". It matches the Rfam family "Bacterial small subunit ribosomal RNA", at positions 28 to 523 of the family's 1533-position model. The record is from RNAcentral.